GUGUCAGCAGCCGCGGUAAUACGUAGGGAGCGAGCGUUGUCCGGAUUUAUUGGGCGUAAAGGGCGUGUAGGCGGCUUUUUAAGUCUGAAGUGAAACGCCAGGGCUCAACCCUGGAACUGCUUCGGAUACUGGGAAGCUUGAGUACUCUAGAGGGCAGUGGAAUUCCGGGUGUAGCAGUGAAAUGCGUAGAGAUCCGGAGGAACACCAGUGGCGAAGGCGACUGCCUGGGGAGAAACUGACGCUGAGGCGCGAAAGCUGGGGGAGCAAACGGGAUUAGAUACCCCGGUAGUCCCAGCCGUAAACGAUGAGUGCUAGGUGUAGGGGGUAUCGACCCCUCCUGUGCCGGAGUUAACGCAAUAAGCACUCCGCCUGGGGAGUACGGCCGCAAGGUUGAA
This 395-nucleotide ribosomal RNA is filed under the name uncultured bacterium. Its description in RNAcentral is "bacterial SSU rRNA". It matches the Rfam family "Bacterial small subunit ribosomal RNA", at positions 505 to 898 of the family's 1533-position model. The record is from RNAcentral.